RNAcentral lists this transfer RNA (72 nucleotides) under Schistosoma japonicum. Its description in RNAcentral is "tRNA-Ser". Lineage: Eukaryota; Metazoa; Platyhelminthes; Trematoda; Strigeidida; Schistosomatidae. The record is from RNAcentral.
GGCUCAGUGGUUCAAUGGUAAAGCGCUCGUCGCGAAACCAAGGGGUCCUGGGUUUAAUCCCCGGUCGGGUCG